GACGAACGCUGGCGGCGUGCUUAACACAUGCAAGUCGAACGGAAAGGCCCUGCUUUUGUGGGGUGCUCGAGUGGCGAACGGGUGAGUAACACGUGGGUAACCUGCCCUUGACUUUGGGAUAACUUCAGGAAACUGGGGCUAAUACCGGAUAGGAGCUCCUGCUGCAUGGUGGGGGUUGGAAAGUUUCGGCGGUUGGGGAUGGACUCGCGGAUUAUCAGCUUGUUGGUGGGGUAGUGGCUUACCAAGGCUUUGACGGGUAGCCGGCCUGAGAGGGUGACCGGCAACAUUGGGACUGAGAUACGGCCCAGACUCCUACGGGAGGCAGCAGUGGGGAAUAGUGCACAAUGGGCGGAAGCCUGAUGCAGCAACGCCGCGUGCGGGAUGACGGCCUUCGGGUUGUAAACCGCUUUCGCCUGUGACGAAGCGUGAGUGACGGUAAUGGGUAAAGAAGCACCGGCUAACUACGUG
RNAcentral lists this ribosomal RNA (468 nucleotides) under uncultured bacterium. RNAcentral's name for it is "partial 16S ribosomal RNA". It matches the Rfam family "Bacterial small subunit ribosomal RNA", at positions 28 to 507 of the family's 1533-position model. The record is from RNAcentral.